RNAcentral lists this ribosomal RNA (444 nucleotides) under uncultured bacterium. RNAcentral describes it as "bacterial SSU rRNA". It matches the Rfam family "Bacterial small subunit ribosomal RNA", at positions 28 to 474 of the family's 1533-position model. The record is from RNAcentral.
GAUGAACGCUGGCGGCGUGCCUAAUACAUGCAAGUCGAACGAAGGUAGCAAUACCUUAGUGGCGAACGGGUGAGUAACACGUAGGUAACCUGCCUUUCAGUUGGGGAUAACCGAGGGAAACUUUGGCUAAUACCGAAUUCGUGCUUCGAAGGCAUCUUCGGAGCAUAAAAGGGGCCUUUAAAGCCUCGCUGAUUGAUGGACCUGCGGCGCAUUAGUUAGUUGGUGAGAUAACAGCCCACCAAGACGAGGAUGCGUAGCCGACCUGAGAGGGUGAACGGCCACACUGGAACUGAGACACGGUCCAGACUCCUACGGGAGGCAGCAGUAGGGAGUUUUCGGCAAUGGGGGAAACCCUGACCGAGCAACGCCGCGUGAGUGAUGAAGGUCUUCGGAUUGUAAAGCUCUGUUAUAAGGGAGAACGGCAGCUAGAGGAAAUGCUAGCUG